Long non-coding RNA from Monopterus albus (swamp eel), 615 nucleotides. RefSeq lists it as uncharacterized. NCBI's taxonomy places the organism in Eukaryota, Metazoa, Chordata, Actinopteri, Synbranchiformes, Synbranchidae. The transcript has 2 exons. The record is from RefSeq and is a predicted model, not a curated record.
AUAAUAUAUAAUCUAUAUUAUAUACUGUAUGUUUUUGUGAUCUGUUGUGUGUUAUGCAAAAGUUUUGCUACUAACUACUGUUUCCAUAUUGUAGAAUUUAUCAACAUGAAUGAUAGAUUACACCACCACUAAUGUAGGGUUGCCUCUUAAAAGUCUCAGAGUUUAUCAAUAGAUAAGGCUCUAGGUCAUCUUCCAUUUUGUCAGUCAAAUUGUUUCUUUUGUGUUUGGGCAUUUAGGCCUAUACAAAGAAUAUUGUAGGUUGACAACGUCCUAAAAAAAGCACUGUGGUGUGUUGUAUAGUACAAAAUAAUUGAAUUUUUCUUUAUUUCCUCCAGACCCCAUCCACUUAAGGACUCUGGGUAUCCACUGAGCUAAGAGAUGAACAGUGUAAGUUGGUUUAAUAUUUGGUCAAGAGUUUGACAUUGUAGGCACACAGAAUAAGUCUUCCUCAGAUAUCAAAUAUCUGACUUGUGUGAUUUGAGGGGAUUUACUCCAAAAAUGCCUAAAUAUUUAAUACAAUUAACCUCUAUUGAUACUCUUUAGAUCAAAAAUCAACUUUUUCUCCUGAUGAAGAGAGUGAAGAAGACGAAAGAACAAUUAAGCCAAAAAAAAAAA